RNAcentral lists this ribosomal RNA (228 nucleotides) under uncultured bacterium. RNAcentral's name for it is "partial 16S ribosomal RNA". It matches the Rfam family "Bacterial small subunit ribosomal RNA", at positions 110 to 339 of the family's 1533-position model. The record is from RNAcentral.
GUAACGCGUAUGCAACCUGCCCUUCACAGGGGGAUAACCGGGAGAAAUUCCGACUAAUACCGCAUACGUCCUCCGGGGGCAUCCCCGGGGGAUGAAAGAAUUAUCGGUGAAGGAUGGGCAUGCGUGAUAUUAGGUAGUUGGCGGGGCAACGGCCCACCAAGCCCACGAUAUCUAGGGGUUCUGAGAGGAAGGUCCCCCACAUUGGUACUGAGACACGGACCAAACUCC